AGCACCUAAAAGCGUUUUCUUGCCAGCCCGUUAACUGCUCUUGAAAAUCGUAGAUGUGUGCCAGAGCAAGCUUCCCAACUGCAAAGGAUUUGGGUUCUCCAAUAACUUUAAUCCGUUUAUGUUGUGAAUAGUU
This is a small nucleolar RNA of Drosophila bipectinata, 133 nucleotides long. RefSeq annotates it as small nucleolar RNA psi28S-3316. NCBI's taxonomy places the organism in Eukaryota, Metazoa, Arthropoda, Insecta, Diptera, Drosophilidae. The record is from RefSeq and is a predicted model, not a curated record.